CCAAAAUGGUCAAAAGCCUGGAAACAAUGCCUUAUGAGGAACGGCUUAGGGAGCUGGGUAUGUUUAGCCUGGAGAAGAGAAGGUUAAGGGGUGAUAUGAUAGACAUGUUCAAAUAUAUGAAAGGAUGUCAUAUAGAGGAGGCAGAAAGGUUGUUUUCUUCUGCUCCAGAGAACCGGACAUGGAGCAAUGGAUUCAAACUACAAGAAAGAAGAUUUGACCUAAACAUUAGGAAGAACUUCCUGACAGUAAGAGCUGUUCGGCAGUGGAAUUUGCUACCAAGGAGUGUGGUGGAGUCUCCUUCUUUGGAGGUCUUUAAGCGGAGGCUUGACAGCCAUAUGUCAAGAAUGCUUUGAUGGUGUUUCCUGCUCGGCAGGGGGUUGGACUGGAUGGCCCUUGUGGUCUCUUCCAACUCUAUGAUUCUAUGAGUUGUUUCAGAUCACAAAUCUGAUCAGUCUCAGCUGAUGGAGCAUGGUCGUAGGGUGCUAUGUCAAAUCAAAUCAAAUCAAAUCAAUAACCUUUAUUAGGCAUGACAAAUUCAGAAGCUUCAGAACAAAAUUAUGAGUAAAACAUUCACAUUAUAAACUUCAUGAAAUAAAAUACAUAUUAAUUGAUUUAGUAUUUUAGAGCAAUAUAUCAAUUUUCAAUUAGCAUCCCCUGGUCCUCUCCACAGUGGCCCAAUCUCUCUGCGUAAACCGAGCACAAAAACUCAGCCACCACUAAAGUAACUCCAUCAUUAUUAUCUGACAAUAACCCCUGAAUAGUUGGCAUUGCUGCGAUCGAUGCAUCCACCUGCAAAGCAUCCAGCAAUCGUCUUCUCGCAUUAAUACUGUAAUUACAGGAAAAGAAAAUGUGGUCCAAUGUAUCUGGUUCAUUCUUCCCGCAUUUACAUAAACGUUCGGCUUUUGGGAGAGCUAGAUAUCUUCCUUCUGUCUCCAUAGAGGGGAACACGUUGAAUCUAGCCAACAUGAAGAGCCUGCACCCUUCCUGACUCUUCAAGUUUGCCAUAUAUCCCCCUUUAAAGUCUCUACACAUUGGGAGGUUCAGGUGUAAUGGGGAGCAGGUGCUGCGCCCCGCCAUCUCAAGUAAGUAGAGGGUGCUUUUCUCUAUAAGAGUCUUUCUAAUAAUUUUCCAGACUUCUUUGGGGUCAACGUUUUCAAAAUCAGUUAUCUUUAGUCCUAUUGAGUUCAACUUUCUCCUGCAAGUCAGUGAUAGGUUAUAGCUUAUACUAUCACUUAGAAGGUCGUAAAGGAGAGAGUUAGGAGAUAGGGCUCUACUAUGAAGGAAGAUCCAGUAUUUCAAAGUCCUCAGCCACGCUCUUAUUGAUAGAGGUAGUAUUCCUAGCUCGCAGCAUAUUGACUCAUAUUUAACAGAGUUUGUAAGUCCAAAUAAUGACCUCAAGAGGGAUGCAUGAAAUUUGUCCAACUUCUUGAGGUCACCUGAAAUCCAUAGUGGGGCGCCAUAUAAAAGUUGUGGGCAAAGUUUCAUAUCAAUUACUUGCAGUGCCGCUGGAAUAUAUCUAUUUCCUUCAGGGGAGAAAAAAUGAGAUUUGAUAUGGUGGGCUGUCCCUUUGGCCUUGGCUAUUGCCACAGAGAUAUGUGCAUUCCAGUUCAUGUUAUUUUUAAAUAGAAUCCCCAGAUAAUUAAUCUGCUUCACUUCCUGUAUUAGAUGUCCACUAAUUAUAUAGUCUUUUGGGUUUCCUCUCUUUUUAAACUGCAUAAUUUUGGUCUUCCUUUGCUAUGUUUAACAGGAAAGGUAGUCCAGCCAGGGCAGUCUCGAGCAGGUGGCGCGCCCUGGCGCUGAGGGGCGGAGAUCGCUCCGGCGCCCCCGCCCUCGCAGGGCACAGCAUGGUUUCCACGCCUACCAGCCUGGCACACCACGCCACUGGGGCUCUACCUAGAGCCGGCCCUGAGUCCAGCACACCUGGAGGGCACCAGCCUUGAAUUGUUGCUAUUGCAGUUCAGACAGAGAGCUGAGAGAGAGAGGCUUCUCCAAAGCUACCAGGGCUGUGGGGUGCUCACAUGACUGCAUUGGCCUGCUUUUCCUCUGUUGAAUUCAAGAGAUCAGAACUUUUUUCAGCUGCCUUCCUCCCCAGGAAAGACAACGGGCUGCUUGAGUAUUCUCAGUUUGGUCAGCUGUGACUCUGCUGUCAGAGAUGAGAUAUGUGCUCUGUCAGCUGGUCAUUCCUUCGCAGAGUUCUGGCUGUGGCCUUCCUCAAUCAAUUAGUCUCACAGUAAACAAUAGGAGCUUGGCAGGAGGGAAUAAACAUCCCCGGCUGCCCACAGGAAGCCCAACACUUGGAAGGAGGGUGUACCUUCCUUUCCCAGCAAGUUGGGUGGCUCUUCUUGAUGGCUUUCCUCUCCUGCUGGCAAAGUGUCUGGUUUGUUGCAUCACAAUGGAAGAGCGGCCAUCAGAACAAGGGCCCUGGUGCCUUUUUUGCUGCCAGAAGAAAGAAAGAUUCCUGCAGCAAUUAUUGUGCAUAUUUUAAUGUGCAUGUUUAUUUCUAAGUAUGAGAUGCACGCCUCAGGAUCUGCAGCAUUAAACAAAUAAAAACCAGAAUCACUGGAUUAACAUGCACCAUUGAUAAGGCCACCCCAAGACAUGAUGAGCAGAAGAGCUGCUGCAAAUCAGUGUUGACAGUACUGAGCUAGACGAAGUUGGUAUAAUGCAGUGCCAUGCCUUCCCCCAACCUGGUGCCCUCCAGAUGUUUUGGACUACAACUCUCAUCGGACCCAACGCGUGGCUGGAGGGCACUAGGCCUGGAGGAAGUUGCUGCUAAAUUUCUCUCCUCAUUAGGUCUGGGCUUAGAAGUGCCAGGUGUGAGAGGAGGGGCAACAGUGAGGGAGCGGCUGGCAGCCAGUGUGAAAGAAUAAUGCUCAGAUGCUCAGAUGGAGGAGUGUGUGUGUAUGACACUGUAUUGGUGUAUUUCCACACAGCCUCUCAGCAGAUGGUCCCAGUAAGCAAAGUGUGGGGGCGGAGCUGUGGGGAGGCAAGGUUCAAUAACUUUUUGGAACAUGUUCCUAGUAAGAGAGCUAGCAAACCUCUCCUUCCAUGAGAUGGUGGAGCUCUUCAGGUUUGCUCCAGUUUGCUCUCAUGCUUGUAGUGGAAUAGCUAAUCCUGCCUUUCUGCUUUGGGAUCUCAUCUCUUAAAAGGCCACAACCUCCUGUGAUGAAGGUACAGGAGGCACUUGAUAGUGGACCAAGCCUCUGAGAAAGCAUGUGGGAUCCCAACAGGGUUUUUUGUGUUUGCUUUUGCUUUCUCUUUCAUCUUCUGAAAUGUCUGUGGGGUGAGGAACAUCACAAGAGCUCCUGCAGAUGGAUCAGGCCAAAGACCAACAUGGUCCAGCAUCUUGUGACCUACAGAGGCCAACUAGGUGACACUGGGAAGGUUAAUUUAAUGGACACUAUGAAGGACACGGGUGGCGCUGUGGGUUAAACCACAGAGCCUAGGUCUUGCCGAUCAGAAGGUCGGCAGUUCGAAUCCCCGUGAUGGGGUGAGCUCCCGUUGCUCGGUCCCUGCUCCUGCCAACCUAGCAGUUCAAAAGCACAUCAAAGUGCUAGUAGAUAAAUAGGUACCACUGUGGCGGGAAGGUAAAUGGCGUUUCCGUGCGCUGCUCUGGUUCGCCAGAAGCGGCUUAGUCAUGCUGGCCACAUGACCCGGAAGCUGUACGCUGGCUCCCUCGGCCAAUAAAGCGAGAUGAGCGCCGCAACCCCAGUCACAACUGGACCUAAUGGUCAGGGGUCCCUUUACCUUUUUAUGAAGGUGUUGGGAGUUCUAAGAGAGGGAAAGGCAACUGUGCAACUACCGGUAUUACUCAUGUAUUCAGUACACCCUCAGGUUUACUACACAUAGUGCCUCAUAUUUUUGUAUAAGAUGGCUUUCCUUGAAGUAUGACCGGAUCAAGGUGUGGAACAUGUGUUUUACAAUUGUACAAAUGGUUUAAUUCCUCUUAGUUUACUGAGUCUAUAGUGUUUGGUAUUUUAUAUUUGUCUUAUUGUACAGUACACCACUUUGGUAUGGUAUGCAAAAAUAGGCACAGAGAGAAUCAAAUAGAGUCUGCAGAAUGGAACCCUCUAAGCAUUUUGAAAAAUGUCCUUCAAGAGAUUAUCUACAUCAGGUAUCCUCAACCUCUUCAGGCUCAAGACCCACUUUUAACCCAAACAUGCACUUGGGGGACCCAUUUCUUAAUCUUUUAACAUAUAUUUACAAGGUAGUAGUGCUGUUACAACCCACCACAGAUCAGGCCCACCAGUUGAAGACCAGUGAUUCUAGAUACAGUACAAUCACAUUUUACAUGGGAGUUUGGUUCCAAGGGUUCCCUGUAUAUGCAAAAAUGCAUAUACUCUAUGUAUCAGCUCUGGAGGCCCCAAGAUGCUCUCUCAAGAUCUGGUGGGGCCAUCAUUAUCUCAUGAGAGCAUCCCAGACUCAGCACACAGAGAGUGUCUUGGAUCCCAAGCAAGGCACAGAGCUUUUAAGCUCUUUUUCCAUUGGGAAGACCCGGCACAAAAGAGCUUUUGAACUCUCUGCCUUGCUCGCAUUUAACUUGCAGGAUGUCAACCAGUGGCCUUCAACUGCUUAUGGUUGAAUUAGAUGAGUAUAAAAUGUGAUUGUAUUGUACGUGUCAUGAUGUACUUCAGGGCCAUAAGACCAGGUGAGUCUUCCUUAGUCAUUAUCCUUGUACUUUUCUCUUCCUCCCCUCCUCAAAUGCAAAGGAUCUUGGGGGGAAAGGCUGUCUUUCCUGAGCUUGUCCUCCCAGUGACCUUCACCUUCCUUGGGAGUUCUCCCCAGCGUGACACAAGUCUGGUGUAGCAAAGGCUGGUUUGGGCCAGGAUCAUUGCCUCAGGCUCUUUGUCUGCCAGCUCCGGCUUUCCAAAGGAAAGCAGCAUUUGAAAAAGACCUUUAUGUUUCCUGUGUCUUUUGGCUUGGGUCCCUGAGUGGGUUCAGCCUUCCUCCACCCAUUUCAGCAGCAGGAAACAAGCUAUUUCAGGCAAUGGGUUGGUAUUUGCUUCUCAUUUCCUGUGAGGAAUUCUAAUUCCAACAGGAGAUGGGGAGACACACUCCAGGAAUGACCAAGGCCAGAUCAACUACCACUUCUUCUGAACCUUUGGCAAAGCCAGGCACCCCCAAACUGCGACCCUCCAGAUAUUUUGGCCUACAACUCUCAUGAUCCCUAGCUAAGAGGACCAGUGGUCAGGGAAGAUGGGAAUUGUAGUCCAAAACAUCCGGAGGGCCAAAGUUUGGGGAUCCUGCUUUAUACCUUUGUACUGUAUUGCUGUCUUCGGCUUCCCAGCCGUAGUCUGUGGGCCCAAGAGACUUCAAAAUGUAUUGCCUUCAUGGUGAACUCAGUUGCCAGGGAGCUGCGCAAAGGACUGCAGUCAUUUUUAGAGCACCCCACUUGGUUUAUAUGGAGGCGCCCUCACCGCUGAGCCCAAGCUGCCCAUGCCAAACAGAGGACAGAGGACAGCAGAACCUUCCUUUACAAUAAUAAUAAUAAUAAUAAUUACAAAAAAUUAAAGUACAAUUGUACAUUUCAUCAUAAAUGCAAACGAAAACAACCAUCACAUUGCCGCCGCCUCUCAAUCCAGGAGGAGCCCAUCUUCCUCCUGGCUUUGAAAUGCAAUUAAUCUGUCAGCUGAAUCCAUUGUCCUUCUUACCAUUCCUUCGUGUUGAUGAAAGCAAGUCUUUUUUAAAAAAGUGGAAAAACAGGUUUGGGGUGGCUCUGACAGUAGGCAUCCAGGUCUACAAAUAUGUGGAACUAGAGUUCAGUCUUGGACAGAAGAUGGUACUGUACACCAGAACAACCCCCUCCCACCUAUCUCCAUGACUUGAAACAGCCUCUGCCAACCUGGUGCCCUCCAGAUGCUGUUGGACUACGUCUCCCAUCAGUCCCAGCCAGCAUAGCUGCUGACUUAUUUGUUCAUGCCUCCAGAGGCCUUUGUGUGCACCUGGAGCCCUUCCUGGCAUGUUCCUAGUUUCAUGGGAGCAAAAGGUCCCCGACUUCCCUGUGACCUGAAAGGGCAGCCAAGUGUUCUGACCCAGCCCUCUCCUCCUGCCCUGGUUUCUCCAAGACCUUGUUAUCUCUGUAUGCAAUGCACACACACUCCUCCCACUCAGCUGCUGUGUUUCAGCCUCAAGCAGCAUGAUGGGACCAGAGUUCCUUCUGCUAUGAUCAGCCUCUCUCUUUCUGCAGGAGGAAAACAAUUUGAAGCGGUGUCAGGGGGAGGCUGAGCAGGUGACAGAGAUCAUGCUGGAGAACUACAGCAAAGUGCUGAACCGUGAGGGCAAGCUCCGCGAACUGGAUGAAAGGGCAGAUGAACUUCGCAACCAGAGUGUUGCCUUCUGCAAGACAACAAAAGUCGUGGCUCGGAAGAAGCGCUGGGAGAACAUGAAAUGGAAGGUCAUCCUUGUGGGCGUGGUCGCGGGAGUCCUCAUCCUCAUCCUGGCUAUAGUUCUUUACUUCACCCUCCCCAGUUCUGCAAACGUGGACACCCCAGCAAAGGCUGAUGGCGGACACUGAGUGGCUUAGUGGGACAACUCCCAGAUCAUCUCCAGCAGGCCAGGUUGUCUCUUCCUGCCUCUUGCACCAAUGUGUUCUGGAUGGACUUGAGCAGAACUUGGUCACAGAUUUGUUGCAGCAGAAGCCACAAUUCUCUAGCGCCCAGCGACAGUGCUCAGAUAAUAUUUGUGAUCGUUUCUAAAUGGCCAAAGCAUUGUAUGCUUGCAACCCCAUUCAACUGUGAGCUGUGCCACAUGCUCAUCAGCGCUUCUGAAAAUUCUUUGCAUAUUGGAUAUACAGUAUAGAGGAGAAUCUAUGCGAAGAUAAAUGAUGUGGUCCUACGCUGCUGCUGUGCCUUCACCCAGGCAUAUCUGGAGGUGUGUCUCUGUGUUGGCAGAGCAGGUCCUAUCAUUUCCCACAUCCUGCAAAUUCCACUCCUGAAAUUAGCCAUAGUAUACAGAAUCUAGGUUUUGUGUUUUUAUCAUGGUGCAAAGAGAGGCAGAGAAGGGUGGCAGAGAAGGUGAUGAGAUGAUUUUGAGACCUGGGGCACAGGAGUGUUCCGGUGCUAUAGUUCUUUUCAUUUAAGAGCAUAAGAUGUGCCUGCUGGAUCAUCUAGUCCAGCAUCUUGAUCUCGCAGUGGACAACCAGAUACCUGUGGGAAAUCCUCAAGCGGCACCUGAGCACAACAGCCCACCCGCCCCCUCCUGCAGUUUUCAAUGAUUUGUAUUCAGAAGCAUUACUGUAUCUGACUGUGGAGGCAGAAUUGGUAUUGAUUUCAGUGGGAGUUGCCCGAGGUAACUUACUCCUGGAUUGUCUCUCAAGUUAAUAUUGGGAGACGGGGCGGGGAGAUGCCAUUGGGAUUCUCUGCCCCAGGGAACCAACAUGUAUUGAGCCAACUUUGCUUUUUUUAUAAUUUGCAGUGAUAUCAGUAAGAAUGUUUACAGGGAAUGUGAUGAUGCUCUUCGGUUAUGCAAAAAGCAGUGUUUUUGGAGGCCUGGGGAUAUUUUAAAUGUGGCAGGACGCUGGAAGGUUCGCAGCAAUAGCGAGGUCUGCAAGGGCCAAAAUCAUGCAGGUUGUCUUCUCCCAGGUGCCACAAGCCUUUGCAUGCUUCUCAUAUUGAAUACAUGCUCUGUUGCAAUUUGUGCCUUACUUCAGGAUCUUUUUACUGUGAAAUCUGGUACUGAGGUACCAGCUUUACUGCUAUGCCCAUUAAGCGCUAGCAGAAUGCUAGCCCUUCUUUGCUAGCUGUUUCCUUCUCUGAAAUGAAAAUGGCCUGAUGUUUGUCCAUUUUCGUUAAUACAUUAUUGCUUUGCAUUAUUUUAUUUUAUUUUUGCACAUGGCUGCCUGUUUAGUGAUCUAGUAAGACCCACCUUUCCUCCUCGUUUUGAUUUUGUGUUUAGCAGCAUAUGAAGGGGGUCUGUAUAUAUGCCUGUAUACAAACCAAUUCAAGAACAGGCCCAUAUUAUGAGAUGCCCCAAAGUAAAGAGGGGGCAGCCUAGAUAACAUGUGGAGCACAGGUUAAUAAGGAAGAAAAUAUUAAGGAUUACUGGCAUGGAAACAGCCAAAACCACUCCUAGCCUCCACCUAGCAUUGUGCUCCUCCAAUUUCAGCUUAGCAAGUGACUAGAAUAUAGGUUAGUUUCAUUAAUGCUAACUUGUAAAAACAUGUCUCCUAUUUUAAACAGGGAUGGAGGGGAGACUCUCGUUUGUGCUGUGUUCUGUGGCAAAAACAGCAAAAGGUGGAUUGUUUUAUAAUAAUGAGUUGCUGUGCAUGGAUUGCUACAUCUGCUGACAAAGCAAUAGAGGAAAGGCAAAGAAAAUAAGAAGAUGGGUUUGUGAUGAUGACCUAGAGAUGGCUCUCAGGAAAUGAAGGGGUCUGGUCUCAAGCCAGAAGCCUGUUUCUGAAUUCAGGAUUGUGAUUUCCCAAAGGGUUUGGGGGCAAUGUCUGCCAGUAGGCUAUAGAUGUCAUGCAGGUAGCUCUUCACGCUGCCAGCUGGCUGGCUAACUUGUCUCGUUUAGAUAUUAACAGGCUGCAAUUCAGGGAUUAAUGGGCAUGCCAAGCGUGUAGGCUUUGCAAGCAUUGGGUUUUCCAUUUGUUGCGAUGGAUAUGCUGCUCUCACAAAACUAGAGGACUGGCAAAUCUUCAAAACUGGGAUCCAAAACAAAAGCAAAGCAAUAAUGGGUGACUCUCCUCCCUCUCACUUCGUGUGGAGGACAAUGUCCUGGGAGAGGACCAGCCAGCUGCCUCCCAGAGGUUUUGGGCUACAAUCUGAGGCUGAUGGGAGUUGUAGUCCAAAACCCCUGGAAGACACUCCUAGAAAGUGAAGGCACUCCUAGAAAGUGGUGGCAGGCAUCCUAGGACAGUUUCUGAGGGAAACCAAAAUACUUAUUCUGAGUUUUCUUUUUUCUUGUUGUUUUUUUUAAAGUGUAGCUAACUUAGGAACAGCCUGGGGUAGAUGUUAGGGGAACAGGAUUAAGAGUCAGCAGGUACCUAGGUGGUGCAUGCCUGACAAAACAAACACCUGUGACUGCCCACCUGAAACACACCUGCAGUGUUUCAGGUGAUGAUGGAAGUGGGAAUCAAGAGCAGGAGUUUCUGGGAAUUUAGCAACGUGGUUUCUGGUCAUGUCCUGCAGGGCAGUGCCUCUCAGGCUAUCUGAUGUAGUGGACCAGCAUUCUGUUUUCCUCGGUGUGCCAGGAACCAGAACCAUAUUUGGUUCCUGAAGCAUUCACGCCUUGGGCCACUUUCAAUAGCACUGCAUUUGGGAGCCUCUGGGGCAGAGAAUUGCAGAGUUGGGCGAAUUGCAGAGAUGACCCAAGGGCCACCCAGCCCAAUCCCUUGCAAUGCAGGAACCACAGUUAGAGAAUCCCUGACACAUGGCCACCCAACGUGUGUUUAAAUAUCUCCAGUGAAGGAGAGUCCACCACCUGCCGAGGGAGUCCAUUCCACCGUCAAAGAGCUCUUACCAUCAGAAAGUUCUUCCUCAUGUUUGACUGGAAUCUAUUUUCUUGAGAUUUGGAUCCAUUGGUUUUGGCCUCACCCUCUCAAGCAGGAGGAAACAGGCUUGCUUGUUCCAUGAAGAUGGAAGCUCUUCAGAUAUUUCAAGGUGGCUUUUAUGUUACCUCUCAAGUCUUCUCUUUCCCAGGUUAAACCUAUCCAGUUCCUUCAACCUUUCAUCUAGCUGAUUCAGCAGUUGAUCAGAGCCAGGCCAGCCACCAGGCCCAGGGAAGGAGCCAAGUGACAACGCUUCGAGAAGCACCCUGAUUCUCACUGAGUUUGGUGAGAGCUGGGGUGCAGUGGUAGUGGAAGUGGUGAUGGGACACAGCAGGGGGUGGGGAGGCAGCAAUUCCCAUUUCGCCUCAAGUGGUGAAACAGGAUGGGUCACCCCUGGAUCAGAUGCAGCUUCUGCUGACGUGUCGGAGCUUUUCCCCCUCUUUGUCAGCUCUCCAGGGACCUCCUGCCCAGGGCCAGAGUCUCCGGACCAUUCAGGUAUCAGCUGUGCAACUUAAGGUUUCUGGAGUCAUAGAAGGCUCCACAGACAAGAUAGCAGCUCUGGUGGUGGGGGUGGAGACACCUGGAAUGGACAGCUUUUAGCAGCUUUAAAGGUAAAGGGACCCCUGACCAUUAGGUCCAGUCAUGACUGACUCUGGGGUUGCGGCACUCAUUUCGCGUUAUUGGCCAAGGAAGCUGGCGUACAGCUUCCAGGUCAUGUGGCCAGCAUGACAAAGCCGCUUCUGGUGAACGGUCCCUAUUUAUCUACUUGCACUUGACAUGCUUUCGAACUGCUAGGUUGGCAGGAGCCGGGACCGAGCAACAGGAGCUCACCCCGUCAUGGGGAUUUGAACCGCCGACCUUCUGAUCAGCAAGCCCUAGGUUCAGUGGUUUAACCCACAGUGCCACCCGCAUCCCACUUUAGAGGUGGGUUAACCAUUCUGCUGAUAGUGGUGCAGCAAGGGUGGCAUCUCAGGACUCAAUAUCAAGUCCCUGCCACCUGGAGGACCACCUGGAGAAGAGCAGAUGAUGGCAAACAGGUCUGACAUCAGUACCUGAACCUACCAGGGCUUCGUAUUUCGUUUUUAAAAUGCUUUUUAUAGAUGGGGUGGGUGAUCUGUACACGUUUACAGAUGCUCAUUUUCAGCUUUUUACUUCAAAGGUGUGCAAAGCGGUGCUUGUUAUUCCCCAGUAAGCGUAUUUAGUAUCAGACUACCCGUUUUAUUCCUGUAGUUGUAAUGGUGCUUUUUUUUUAAAAAAAAAAUGUAUCAUAUUGGUUUUUAAUAUCAUAAACACAACUGAGAAAGCAAAACUUGGAAUAAUAUACAGAUUAUUGGAUUGUCAAGUACGUAGGGUGAAAUUAAGAUACUCGUAUAUCAAAAAUUCACUAAGUAGACCUUUGUAUAAAGAUACAUGUGACACAAUAAAUGAAGACCAUA
Non-coding RNA from Zootoca vivipara (common lizard), 10923 nucleotides. The record is from RefSeq and is a predicted model, not a curated record. NCBI's taxonomy places the organism in Eukaryota, Metazoa, Chordata, Lepidosauria, Squamata, Lacertidae.